Molecule: ribosomal RNA, 244 nt
Filed under: uncultured bacterium
Lineage: Bacteria
Description: partial 16S ribosomal RNA
Rfam family: Bacterial small subunit ribosomal RNA
Source: RNAcentral
UACGUAGGGUGCAAGCGUUAAUCGGAAUUACUGGGCGUAAAGCGUGCGCCAGGCGGUUUUGUAAGUUUGUCGUGAAAGCCCCCGGGCUCAACCUGGGGAAUUGCGAUGAAGACUGCAAGGGCUUGAAUCUGGCAGAGGGGGGUAGAAUUCCACGUGUAGCAGUGAAAUGCGUAGAUAUGCGGAGGAACACCCGAUGGCGAAGGCAAUCCCCCUGGGCCUGCACUGACGCUCAUGCACGAAAGCG